This 104-nucleotide small nuclear RNA is filed under the name Notamacropus eugenii (tammar wallaby). Lineage: Eukaryota; Metazoa; Chordata; Mammalia; Diprotodontia; Macropodidae. The record is from RNAcentral.
GUGCCUACUACAGCAGCACAUAUGCUAAAAUUGGAAUAAUAAAGAAAUUAGUAUGACUCAUGUUCAAGGUUGACAUACAAAUUCAUGAAGCAGUCUUUAAUGUA